CCCUAAAAAUUCCGCCUGUUCUGUUAAUUAAACUUUGGGGCAUUGAAAGUGGCUAAGGGAAAGAAGUGAUUGAAUAGAGAGUAUUAAUCUAGUCAUAUACUUCCUAGUCUACACCA
Acomys russatus (golden spiny mouse) is the source of this 116-nucleotide small nucleolar RNA. The record is from RefSeq and is a predicted model, not a curated record. Lineage: Eukaryota; Metazoa; Chordata; Mammalia; Rodentia; Muridae.